AGGAGCCGGGUGAGGUGAAAGUCUCAAGCACGGUUCUGAAGACGAGUCGAACGGGUGACUGUUCGGCUUAGUUUAAC
This is a non-coding RNA of Gloeocapsa sp. PCC 73106, 77 nucleotides long. Lineage: Bacteria; Bacillati; Cyanobacteriota; Cyanophyceae; Chroococcidiopsidales; Chroococcidiopsidaceae. The record is from Rfam.